This 111-nucleotide ribosomal RNA is filed under the name Phytophthora sp. 1931. RNAcentral's name for it is "5.8S ribosomal RNA". Lineage: Eukaryota; Oomycota; Peronosporomycetes; Peronosporales; Peronosporaceae. The record is from RNAcentral.
AUGCCUGUAUCAGUGUCCGUACAUCAAACUUGGUUUUCUUCCUUCCGUGUAGUCGGUGGUGGAUGUGCCAGAUGUGAAGUGUCUUGCGGCUGGUCUUCGGAUCGGCUGUGA